RNAcentral lists this transfer RNA (77 nucleotides) under Porphyromonadaceae bacterium. RNAcentral's name for it is "tRNA-Ala". It matches the Rfam family "tRNA". Rfam says of the family: Transfer RNA (tRNA) molecules are approximately 80 nucleotides in length. Their secondary structure includes four short double-helical elements and three loops (D, anti-codon, and T loops). Lineage: Bacteria; Pseudomonadati; Bacteroidota; Bacteroidia; Bacteroidales; Porphyromonadaceae. RNAcentral also lists the same sequence under 4 other names. The record is from RNAcentral.
GGGGCAUUAGCUCAUCUGGCUAGAGCGUUUGACUGGCAGUCAAGAGGUGACCGGUUCGAUCCCGGUAUGCUCCACUA